RNAcentral lists this ribosomal RNA (329 nucleotides) under uncultured eukaryote. Its description in RNAcentral is "partial 18S ribosomal RNA". It matches the Rfam family "Eukaryotic small subunit ribosomal RNA", at positions 1470 to 1796 of the family's 1831-position model. The record is from RNAcentral.
CCCCUAGAUGUUCUGGGCCGCACGCGCGCUACACUGAACAGUUCAACAAGUCUUAACCUUGGCCGAUAGGUCUGGGUAAUCUUUGAACGCUGUUCGUGAUUGGGAUAGACCUUUGCAAUUAUGGGUCUUCAACGAGGAAUUCCUAGUAAACGCAAGUCAUCAGCUUGCAUUGAUUACGUCCCUGCCCUUUGUACACACCGCCCGUCGCUCCUACCGAUUGAACGUGCUGGUGAAGCGUUAGGACUGGCGCCGCGUGUCGGGUUCCCCUUCAACGGGGCGCCGGGAAUUUCGUUGAACCCUCCCGUUUAGAGGAAGGAGAAGUCGUAACA